CAGCAGCCGCGGGAAUACGAAGGGGGCUAGCGUUGUUCGGAAUUACUGGGCGUAAAGCGCACGUAGGCGGAUAUUUAAGUCAGGGGUGAAAUCCCAGAGCUCAACUCUGGAACUGCCUUUGAUACUGGGUAUCUUGAGUAUGGAAGAGGUAAGUGGAAUUCCGAGUGUAGAGGUGAAAUUCGUAGAUAUUCGGAGGAACACCAGUGGCGAAGGCGGCUUACUGGUCCAUUACUGACGCUGAGGUGCGAAAGCGUGGGGAGCAAACAGGAUUAGAUACCCCCGUAGUCCCUGUCUCUUAUAC
This 301-nucleotide ribosomal RNA is filed under the name uncultured bacterium. RNAcentral's name for it is "partial 16S ribosomal RNA". It matches the Rfam family "Bacterial small subunit ribosomal RNA", at positions 509 to 807 of the family's 1533-position model. The record is from RNAcentral.